This 377-nucleotide long non-coding RNA is filed under the name Phoenix dactylifera (date palm). RNAcentral describes it as "long non-coding RNA (PDAC_LNC018835)". The record is from RNAcentral. Lineage: Eukaryota; Viridiplantae; Streptophyta; Magnoliopsida; Arecales; Arecaceae.
UUUUUUUUUUCUUUGGUGAGCGGACUGACAGAGGGAAGGGGUCUGUUCUUGUUGUUGAUGGUAACCGAGGGAAAGAAAAACUGUUGACGGAUCGGGGCUUUGGCAAUAGAAGCAAAACCGGUUGCUCUGAUACCAAGUUGAUGCCGCACAAAUGACGGAAAAAAAGGAGAAGAAGGAAGAACAAGAGAGGAAGAAGGAAGAAGAGGUUCUAGAGACACAGGAAGAAGAGAAGGGGAGGAGGAGGAGGAAGAAUAAGAUCUGGGGGAAAAGAAAUUCUUAAUCAUUCAUUAAAUUCUAAUCAUGAAAAUAGUUCCCUAUAUAUAGGGCCCAAAUACACAAUUUGCAUAAACCCCCCUUACACAGAAAUAAAUCCUAAU